Molecule: ribosomal RNA, 211 nt
Filed under: uncultured bacterium
Lineage: Bacteria
Description: partial 16S ribosomal RNA
Rfam family: Bacterial small subunit ribosomal RNA
Source: RNAcentral
UACGAAGGGGGCUAGCGUUGCUCGGAAUUACUGGGCGUAAAGCGCACGUAGGCGGUCUUUUAAGUCGGGGGUGAAAUCCUGGAGCUCAACUCCAGAACUGCCUUCGAUACUGGAAGACGUUGAGUCCGGGAGAGGUGAGUGGAACUGCGAAGUGUAGAGGUGAAAUUCGUAGAUAUUCGCGAAAGAACGACCAGUGGCGGAACGGCGGCUC